Molecule: ribosomal RNA, 629 nt
Filed under: Salmonella enterica subsp. enterica serovar Infantis
Lineage: Bacteria; Pseudomonadati; Pseudomonadota; Gammaproteobacteria; Enterobacterales; Enterobacteriaceae
Also listed under: 2 other names
Description: partial 23S ribosomal RNA
Rfam family: Bacterial large subunit ribosomal RNA
Source: RNAcentral
AGACCCGAAACCCGGUGAUCUAGCCAUGGGCAGGUUGAAGGUUGGGUAACACUAACUGGAGGACCGAACCGACUAAUGUUGAAAAAUUAGCGGAUGACCUGUGGCUGGGGGUGAAAGGCCAAUCAAACCGGGAGAUAGCUGGUUCUCCCCGAAAGCUAUUUAGGUAGCGCCUCGUGAAUUCAUCUCCGGGGGUAGAGCACUGUUUCGGCUAGGGGGCCAUCCCGGCUUACCAACCCGAUGCAAACUGCGAAUACCGGAGAAUGUUAUCACGGGAGACACACGGCGGGUGCUAACGUCCGUCGUGAAGAGGGAAACAACCCAGACCGCCAGCUAAGGUCCCAAAGUCAUGGUUAAGUGGGAAACGAUGUGGGAAGGCCCAGACAGCCAGGAUGUUGGCUUAGAAGCAGCCAUCAUUUAAAGAAAGCGUAAUAGCUCACUGGUCGAGUCGGCCUGCGCGGAAGAUGUAACGGGGCUAAACCAUGCACCGAAGCUGCGGCAGCGACACUCAGGUGUUGUUGGGUAGGGGAGCGUUCUGUAAGCCUGUGAAGGUGUGUCGUGAGGCAUGCUGGAGGUAUCAGAAGUGCGAAUGCUGACAUAAGUAACGAUAAAGCGGGUGAAAAGCCCGCUCG